Molecule: ribosomal RNA, 772 nt
Filed under: Triticum dicoccoides
Lineage: Eukaryota; Viridiplantae; Streptophyta; Magnoliopsida; Poales; Poaceae
Description: rRNA SSU_rRNA_eukarya
Rfam family: Bacterial small subunit ribosomal RNA (bases 441-767)
Source: RNAcentral
AAUGUAUCUAUAAUUUUUAUUGUUCCAUGCUAUUAUAUUAUAUGUUUUGGAUGUUUAAUAUGCAUUUAUAUGUUAUUUUAUAUUAUUUUUGGGACUAACUAUUAACCGAGGGCCCAGUGCCAGUUUCUAUUUUUUGCCUGUUUUAGUGUUUCAUAGAAAAGAAAUACCAAACGGAGUCCAAACGGAAUGAAACUUUCGCAAUGAUCUUUCUUGGACCAGAAGCAAACUAGGAGACUUGGAGAUGAAGUUGGAGACUCAACGAGGCGGCCACAAGGGUGGAGGGCGCGCCCCUACCUCGUGGGCCCCUCGGAGCUCUCUUGACCUAGUUCCUUCGCCUAUAUAUACUCUUAUACCCCAAAAACAUCAGGGGGAGCCACGAAAACACUUUUCCACCGCCGCAACCUUCUGUGCCCGUGAGAUCCCAUCUAGGGGCCUUUUCCGGCAUACUGUCGGAGGGGGAUUUGAUCAUGGAGGGCUUCUACAUCAACACCAUUACCCUUCCGAUGAAGCAUGAGUUGUUUACCUUAGAACUACGGGUCCACUUGAGUGAGACCGAGGAGAGUGGAAUUUCGUGUGUAGGGGUGAAAUCCGUAGAUCUACGAAGGAAUGCCAAAAGCGAAGGCAGCUCUCUAGGUACCUACUGAUGCUGGGGUGCAAAAGCAUGGGGAGCGAACAGGAUUAGAUACCCUGGUAGUACAUGCCAUAAAUGAUGAGUGUUCUCCCUUGGUCUGCGCGGAUCAGGGGCCCAGCUAACGCGUGAAACACUCCGCCU